This 468-nucleotide ribosomal RNA is filed under the name uncultured bacterium. RNAcentral's name for it is "partial 16S ribosomal RNA". It matches the Rfam family "Bacterial small subunit ribosomal RNA", at positions 28 to 507 of the family's 1533-position model. The record is from RNAcentral.
GACGAACGCUGGCGGCGUGCUUAACACAUGCAAGUCGAACGGAAAGGCCCUGCUUUUGUGGGGUGCUCGAGUGGCGAACGGGUGAGUAACACGUGAGUAACCUGCCCUUGACUUUGGGAUAACUUCAGGAAACUGGGGCUAAUACCGGAUAGGAGCUCCUGCUGCAUGGUGGGGGUUGGAAAGUUUCGGCGGUGGGGGCUGGACUCGCGGCUUAUCAGCUUGUUGGUGGGGUAGUGGCGUACCAAGGCUUUGACGGGUAGCCGGCCUGAGAGGGUGACCGGCCACAUUGGGCCUGAGAUACGGCCCAGACUCCUACGGGAGGCAGCAGUGGGGAAUAUUGCACAAUGGGCGGAAGCCUGAUGCAACAACCCCGCGUGCGGGAUGACGGCCUUCGGGUUGUAAACCGCUUUCGCCUGUGACGAAGCGUGAGUGACGGUAAUGGGUAAAGAAGCACCGGCUAACUACGUG